GCUGGAGUAGCUCAGUUGGUAGAGCAGCCGCCUUGUAAGCGGCAGGUCGCAGGUUCGAAUCCUGUCUCCAGCU
RNAcentral lists this transfer RNA (73 nucleotides) under Actinomycetota bacterium. Its description in RNAcentral is "tRNA-Thr". It matches the Rfam family "tRNA". Rfam says of the family: Transfer RNA (tRNA) molecules are approximately 80 nucleotides in length. The record is from RNAcentral. RNAcentral also lists the same sequence under 1 other name. Lineage: Bacteria; Bacillati; Actinomycetota.